RNAcentral lists this ribosomal RNA (552 nucleotides) under Chryseobacterium sp. 3T-B5. Its description in RNAcentral is "bacterial SSU rRNA". It matches the Rfam family "Bacterial small subunit ribosomal RNA", at positions 931 to 1494 of the family's 1533-position model. The record is from RNAcentral. Lineage: Bacteria; Pseudomonadati; Bacteroidota; Flavobacteriia; Flavobacteriales; Weeksellaceae.
GGUGGAUUAUGUGGUUUAAUUCGAUGAUACGCGAGGAACCUUACCAAGGCUUAAAUGGGAAAUGACAGGUUUAGAAAUAGACUUUUCUUCGGACAUUUUUCAAGGUGCUGCAUGGUUGUCGUCAGCUCGUGCCGUGAGGUGUUAGGUUAAGUCCUGCAACGAGCGCAACCCCUGUCACUAGUUGCCAUCAUUAAGUUGGGGACUCUAGUGAGACUGCCUACGCAAGUAGAGAGGAAGGUGGGGAUGACGUCAAAUCAUCACGGCCCUUACGCCUUGGGCCACACACGUAAUACAAUGGCCGGUACAGAGGGCAGCUACACUGCGAAGUGAUGCAAAUCUCGAAAGCCGGUCUCAGUUCGGAUUGGAGUCUGCAACUCGACUCUAUGAAGCUGGAAUCGCUAGUAAUCGCGCAUCAGCCAUGGCGCGGUGAAUACGUUCCCGGGCCUUGUACACACCGCCCGUCAAGCCAUGGAAGUCUGGGGUACCUGAAGUCGGUGACCGUAACAGGAGCUGCCUAGGGUAAAACAGGUAACUAGGGCUAAGUCGUAACAG